UGACACUAACUAGCCCCAGGCUGGCUAUUAACUAGCGGAUCUACUCUUUUCUCUGCUGCAAAGUCAACAAUGAAGCAACUCGCUCUCCUGCUGCUCCUCAUCUCAGUGACCAGGGCGACCCCUUGCGCCGAGAGCGUGGGUGUUGCUGAACUGAAACUUGCCAUCCGUGACCUGCUGGAGAACUGGGAAGACACGUCCUACUCCCAGAGCGGCCAGAGCUACCAGAGCUACCAGAGCCUGCCCCGCAGCUGCAAGGAAAUUAAAGCCACCCGGGCCGGGGCUGGAGGUGAGUGCGGAGGAAGCAUCCCUGGACCUGCAGAAGCUGCUUUGCCUCUGCUGGGUGCCUGCUCCAGACCCAGUGUAAAGGCCACAGCUGGGUCCAGUCUGUUCAGAUGCAGCCGGGCAGCU
Molecule: long non-coding RNA, 408 nt
Organism: Chrysemys picta bellii (western painted turtle)
Lineage: Eukaryota; Metazoa; Chordata; Testudines; Emydidae
Source: Ensembl